This 76-nucleotide transfer RNA is filed under the name bacterium ADurb.Bin236. RNAcentral's name for it is "tRNA-His". It matches the Rfam family "tRNA". Rfam says of the family: Transfer RNA (tRNA) molecules are approximately 80 nucleotides in length. Their secondary structure includes four short double-helical elements and three loops (D, anti-codon, and T loops). Further hydrogen bonds mediate the characteristic L-shaped molecular structure. tRNAs have two regions of fundamental functional importance: the anti-codon, which is responsible for specific mRNA codon recognition, and the 3' end, to which the tRNAs corresponding amino acid is attached (by aminoacyl-tRNA synthetases). tRNAs cope with the degeneracy of the genetic code in two manners: having more than one tRNA (with a specific anti-codon) for a particular amino acid; and 'wobble' base-pairing, i.e. permitting non-standard base-pairing at the 3rd anti-codon position. The record is from RNAcentral.
GCCGAGGUAGCUUAGCUGGUCUAAAGCGCUUGACUGUGGAUCAAGAGAGCAUGGGUUCGAAUCCCCUCCUCGGUAC